RNAcentral lists this ribosomal RNA (529 nucleotides) under uncultured bacterium. RNAcentral's name for it is "bacterial SSU rRNA". It matches the Rfam family "Bacterial small subunit ribosomal RNA", at positions 355 to 893 of the family's 1533-position model. The record is from RNAcentral.
UGGGGAAUCUUGCACAAUGGGCGAAAGCCUGAUGCAGCAACGCCGCGUGCGGGAAGACAGCCCUAGGGUUGUAAACCGCUUUCAGGAGGGAAGAAAAUGACGGUACCUCCAGAAGAAGGUGCGGCCAACUACGUGCCAGCAGCCGCGGUGACACGUAGGCACCAAGCGUUAUCCGGAUUUAUUGGGCGUAAAGAGCUCGUAGGCGGUUCGGUAAGUCGGGUGUGAAAAUCCAAGGCUCAACCUUGGGACGCCACCCGAUACUGCUGUGACUCGAGUGCAGUAGGGGAGCAGGGAAUUCCUGGUGUAGCGGUGAAAUGCGCAGAUAUCAGGAGGAACACCCAGUGGCGAAGGCGCUGCUCUGGGGCUGUAACUGACGCUGAGGAGCGAAAAGCUGGGGUAGCAAAACAGGGAUUAGAUACCCUGGGUAGUCCAUGCCGUAAACGUUGGGCACUAGGUGUGGGUCUCAACCAACGAGAUCCGCGCCGUCGCUAACGCAUUAAGUGCCCCGCCUGGGGAGUACGUCGCAAGA